GGUUGUAUAGUGUAGUGGUUAUCACCUUGGAUUCUGACCUUCCAGUAACCCCGGUUCGAGUCCGGGUACGACCU
Molecule: non-coding RNA, 74 nt
Organism: Yarrowia lipolytica CLIB122
Lineage: Eukaryota; Fungi; Ascomycota; Dipodascomycetes; Dipodascales
Source: the annotation of a RefSeq genome assembly